UCCUGUUUACAUCCAACUUUGCGUUUCUAUAUACCAAAUUACACUCUACAUUUUUGCAUUUGCACUAAAUUUGCACCAUUUCAGAUCUGCUAAGCGUUGACCAGGAACAUCGGUUGUACUUUACAUCCCCGACUGCUCAUUGAUAUUCUCAAUGUGCGAAGCUUUUGUCUUUUCGUUCUAGGGUCUCGAUCUUCUCGUUUGCAUACAACCACGAGACAGCAACCCUAACACAAGCAAGAACUCCAGCCACACCUAGGUCCAUUGUAACAAUUGAAGCUUAAUCAGCCUUGCUUUGGUUCCCCUUCAAUUCCCUCUUAGAGUAGGUUCUCGUCAGGGCAAUCUUCGGAAGUUUCCUUCAAACAAGGUGGUGCAUUUGGCGGGAACAGGGGAUUGAGACCUGUUCCCCCAGAAAAGGGCGUGUUCCCUCUGGAUCACACGCACGAAUGUGACUUGGUACCAUUACAUAUUUCUUCCCGGUUUUUGUUAAAAUACCAAUUCGUACUCUUUUUUUUUUUUUUCUUAAUUGGGAUUUAGGCUCUUCGUUUUGAUUUAGAUUGAGUGGAAUGCCUAGUGUCACAGAGGGUUGAUGUUUUGGAGUUUGGUUUCAUUGGGACUUAAUUUACAAGUCUAUUAUGGUUCAGGAGAAGAAAGAAUAUAUAAAUUGUCUCAAAUCUUCUGGCUAUCAAUCCGAAAGAUGUAGAGGCUUUUCAAAGCUGUACCUGGAGUGUCGUAUACAGAGGUUAGUUAGCUGCACUGUAGUUACAUGAUGUUUAUAUGCUACAAGGUGCUGAGGAAGUUACAUCAUGUUUAUAUAUGAGGAUCUUGUAACAUCUGGUUUUAUAUAUCCAGAUUUCUCCCAACAAAACAUGCAGAACAUUGACAUUCAGAACCAUGUGGCUAUGAUAAGAAGAAAAAGAGUUGUAGGAUAUAUUUCUAUUGAAUGGAUAUUACAUUUCUUUAAGUGCAUUUCUGACUGGGCAAUAUAAUGAAUAUCCAAUUUCUUGUAAACCUGGUACUAGAACAAAAGGAGUGCUUGAACUGGGUUAACAAACCUACUAAUUAGGUCCUGGCAUUUCCAUAUCUUGUAUUGGGGAUCUGGUAUCACUUUUUUAAGGAAUUGGAAGUAAACUUUUCAAUGCUUUGAUGGUAACCUGAUUUUUUUUUGGAAAUUAAUUGUUGUUUCCAUAUGUAGGGCUGUCAAUGGGUCGGGUCUGACCCAAUGGGCCUGAUGGGACCAAACCAAUUAUAUUGGUUCUGGUUCCAGGAUUUUUAGAUCAAUGGGUCGGUUCCGGUUCUCUUUUUUGGUCUUGAUUAUUAUCAGAUCAGGACCAGUUCUACCCUGUCCUGAACUGACUAAUAUUUUCACCAGGUUUAUUAUAAUCAGGUCCAUUGGGUCAGACCCGAUGGACUGAGAACCGAUCAGUUCAGUUCAGUGUCUAAAAGUACAGAUCCUAUAGGGUCUGGGUCGGUUCCGGUUCUCUUUUUUGGUCUUGAUUAUUAUCAGAUCAGGACCAGUUCUACCCUGUCCUGAACUGACUAAUAUUUUCACCAGGUUUAUUAUAAUCAGGUCCAUUGGGUCAGACCCGAUGGACUGAGAACCGAUCAGUUCAGUUCAGUGUCUAAAAGUACAGAUCCUAUAGGGUCUGGUUCGGUUCCGGGACCUUGACAUUUCUUGUUGGUUCAGGACUAGUUCUACCCUAUCCCGACCCAUCGACAACCCUACCUAUAUCUUGUUGUAGUGGGAUCUGGUAUCACUUUUUUUAAGGAAUUGAAAGUAAACUAUCCGAUGCUUUGAUGGUAAUCUGAUUUGUUUUUUGGAAAUUAAUUUUCUCAAUUUUGUAGUAGAAGCAAAUGAUCUUGGUGCAAGUUCAGCCUUUUUGUGAGACAACUAGUCUUGAUGUGAAUUAGCAGGUUAAUAAAUCAUGUUUGUGAUGUCUUGACAAGAUCUUUUCAGCUUCGGUUGAGGCUGUGUUGUUGGUGUGCGAUAAAAAUAGUUUAGUGAUUAGAAAGGAAAGUACCUAGGCCUAGAGGUUUGUCUUUUUGUGAGGUGUUUGAUCAAGAAAUCAUGUUGUAAACUCGAGAUAUUUGGACGAGAUCCUUUGAAGUUUGGAUUGGGCCAUAUGGAGGUAUUAUAACAACAAUGCCGUGUCCUGCGUUAUUAUUUGCUGAUCCCAUGCAGUGUUAUCAAAGCACUAACUGGUUAACAACUAGUCAAGCAUUACUCAAUUGUGGGACAUAUCAACUGCAUCAGUAACCAGUCAAUACCCAUAGUGUGGUCUCCUAGGACAACUAAGUAUUUUUUACUAGAUCUUACUAGAUCAACUAAUGACUAGUUUGCUUAGCUGAUAAAAAAAGAAUAAUGUACAUUUUUAUUUGUUUGUAUUCAUCCCUAACUUUUUGAGUAGUAUUAUAAUGUUUAUAUUUUUAUGCACACCAAUUGCUUUUAGCAUCUCACUGCACGUGGUUGAGUUAGGGCAUAAUAAUAUAGAAAGAAAACCAAAAGUAGAAAAGGAACAGUCAAGUAGCUCGUUUAGGUCUUAUUAUGAUCAAUUUGCUGUUAUGGAGUUGCUAUUUACAAGGGAAUCAUAUCAGGAACAAAUGCUAUUUCUCCCUACUGAGAUUCUGAUCAAUUGGCUGUUAAAUGCUCUAUACCAUAUCUUUUAUUGAAUACUUGCAGUCUUUAUUAAAUUAUUUAUGAGAUUUCAUCAUUAAAUAUGAUUAUCUAUUUUUAUAUUCAUGUUUAGGGUAAAUUUCUUAAACUACCCUUAAGGUUUAGGAAAUUGGCUAACUAUACUCCUACUGUUUCAGUAUUGUCUUAAAGUUCCCCUACUGUUUCUGACAAUUGACUAGCUCUACCCCUACCGUUAGUAUCCGUUAAUGUUCCAUCAAAAUCCAUAUACAUGUUACAGCAUGUGACAUAUAAUUUUUUCUAAAAUCCAAUAUUACCCCGUCACUUUCCUCUCGAGUCUCAAUGCUGCUGCGGAACACCAGCACCCCCUUCCUCCAAUCCCUCUCUCUCUCUCCCCAUCCACCAGCGGAACCCCCUCUGCCUCUGGUCUCUCUCUCAGUUUCAAUUUUGAAGUUGUAAAGUUCUGCAACUGCAGGAAACUAACUCACCCAUGUUUCGGGUUGAUCUUGAAUUAAGAGAUGAUCAAAAAAGGAGAAAAUCUAGAAAUUUUCAUUAUUUGUGUCUGGACAAACAUUACUAGGAAACUGAGCAUGGGAGAGUGAGCCUCAUAGAGGGCUGGUGAGGCUGUCAUGACCCCUGAAAAACUAGAAAUAAGCUCUCUAGAAUCUCUACACAUAAUUACAUAAAGAAUUCAAAAGCGAUGAC
This is a non-coding RNA of Nelumbo nucifera (sacred lotus), 3334 nucleotides long. Lineage: Eukaryota; Viridiplantae; Streptophyta; Magnoliopsida; Proteales; Nelumbonaceae. The record is from RefSeq and is a predicted model, not a curated record.